Molecule: ribosomal RNA, 576 nt
Filed under: [Candida] sp. YM25442
Lineage: Eukaryota; Fungi; Ascomycota; Saccharomycetes; Saccharomycetales
Description: eukaryotic LSU rRNA
Rfam family: Eukaryotic large subunit ribosomal RNA
Source: RNAcentral
CAGGGGGGUAUUGCCUCAGUAGCGGCGAGUGAGCGGCAAAAGCUCAGAUUUGAAAUCGCCUUUCGGGGCGAGUUGUAGAUUGCAGGUGGGAGAGUUUGUGGAGGCGCGUGCCGAAGUCCCUUGGAACAGGGCGCCAUUGAGGGUGAGAGCCCCGUGCGACGCGUGCCGAAGCUUUAACUCCCCUCUGACGAGUCGAGUUGUUUGGGAAUGCAGCUCUAAGUGGGUGGUAAAUUCCAUCUAAGGCUAAAUACUGGCGAGAGACCGAUAGCGAACAAGUACUGUGAAGGAAAGAUGAAAAGCACUUUGAAAAGAGAGUGAAACAGCACGUGAAAUUGUUGAAAGGGAAGGGUAUUGGGCUCGACAUGGGAAUUGCGCACCGCUGCUCCUUGUGGGCGGCGCUCUGGGCUUUUCCUGGGCCAGCAUCGGUUUUCGCCGCAGGAGAAGGGGCUGUGGAAUGUAGCUGCUUGCAGUGUUAUAGCCACUGGCCAGAUGCUGCGUGUGGGGACCGAGGGCUGCGACAUCUGUCUCGGAUGCUGGCACAACGGCGCAAUACCGCCCGUCUUGAAACACGGACCA